Drosophila mojavensis is the source of this 396-nucleotide long non-coding RNA. RefSeq lists it as uncharacterized. The record is from RefSeq and is a predicted model, not a curated record. Lineage: Eukaryota; Metazoa; Arthropoda; Insecta; Diptera; Drosophilidae. The transcript has 2 exons.
AUAUAUACUUUGUGGGGUCUGCCACGUCUCCUUCUGCCUGUUACAUACAUUUCAACAAAACCAUUAUACCCUGAUGAUUUGAACGAAGCAUUGGAAGAUCUAUCGUGAACAAUGGAGCAGUGAGAAUAAAUCUGAAUAUAAAGAAAUGUUUCGAAUAUCUUUUGAUUAUUGAAUAUAUAGAUUUGUAUAUAUAUACCAAUGGAUUUUUUGCAGUACUAUCUGUCGUGACAACCAAGGGCCGCAUCCAUGGCUCGACACCUUUUAUAAAAAUCUCCUGGGUUUGACUGGGAUCUAUUGCGGCUCCUGUACCUAUUAAGGGUUUCAAAUCCACGUUGACCCAUUGACCCAAUCCAGUUGGAAUUUUAUGUCGGAACUCGAAGAUUUUUGCCUUAUGCG